UUUCCGUAGGUGAACCUGCGGAAGGAUCAUUCAUAAUAAGUGUUUUAUGGCACUUUUUUAAUCCAUAUCCACCUUGUGUGCAAUGUCAGGGUUGAUUUUUCUCUCGAGAGGAUCAGCCCCAAACAUCAACUAUAUCUCAACUCUUUGUCUGAAAAAUAUUAUGAAUAAAACAAUUCAAAAUACAACUUUCAACAACGGAUCUCUUGGCUCUC
This 212-nucleotide unclassified non-coding RNA is filed under the name plant metagenome. Its description in RNAcentral is "partial contains small subunit ribosomal RNA, internal transcribed spacer 1, and 5.8S ribosomal RNA". The record is from RNAcentral.